RNAcentral lists this ribosomal RNA (505 nucleotides) under Rhodotorula mucilaginosa. Its description in RNAcentral is "eukaryotic LSU rRNA". It matches the Rfam family "Eukaryotic large subunit ribosomal RNA", at positions 71 to 572 of the family's 3401-position model. Lineage: Eukaryota; Fungi; Basidiomycota; Microbotryomycetes; Sporidiobolales; Sporidiobolaceae. The record is from RNAcentral.
AGGAUUCCCCUAGUAGCGGCGAGCGAAGCGGGAAGAGCUCAAAUUUAUAAUCUGGCACCUUCGGUGUCCGAGUUGUAAUCUCUAGAAAUGUUUUCCGCGUUGGACCGCACACAAGUCUGUUGGAAUACAGCGGCAUAGUGGUGAGACCCCCGUAUAUGGUGCGGACGCCCAGCGCUUUGUGAUACAUUUUCGAAGAGUCGAGUUGUUUGGGAAUGCAGCUCAAAUUGGGUGGUAAAUUCCAUCUAAAGCUAAAUAUUGGCGAGAGACCGAUAGCGAACAAGUACCGUGAGGGAAAGAUGAAAAGCACUUUGGAAAGAGAGUUAACAGUACGUGAAAUUGUUGGAAGGGAAACGCUUGAAGUCAGACUUGCUUGCCGAGCAAUCGGUUUGCAUGCCAGCAUCAGUUUUCCGGGAUGGAUAAUGGUAGANAGAAGGUAGCAGUUUCGGCUGUGUUAUAGCUCUCUGCUGGAUACAUCUUGGGGGACUGAGGAACGCAGUGUGCCUUU